CUACGGGCGGCUCCAGUAAGGAAUAUUGGUCAAUGGACGCAAGUCUGAACCAGCCAUGCCGCGUGAAGGAUUAAGGUCCUCUGGAUUGUAAACUUCUUUUAUAUGGGACGAAAAAAGGUCUUUCUAGACCCCUUGACGGUACCAUAUGAAUAAGCACCGGCUAACUCCGUGCCAGCAGCCGCGGUAAUACGGAGGGUGCAAGCGUUAUCCGGAUUCACUGGGUUUAAAGGGUGCGUAGGCGGGUAGGUAAGUCAGUGGUGAAAUCCUGGAGCUCAACUCCAGAACUGCCAUUGAUACUAUCUAUCUUGAAUAUUGUGGAGGUAAGCGGAAUAUGUCAUGUAGCGGUGAAAUGCUUAGAUAUGACAUAGAACACCCAUUGCGAAGGCAGCUUACUACGCAUAUAUUGACGCUGAGGCACGAAAGCGUGGGGAUCAAACAGGAUUAGAUACCCCAGUAGUC
RNAcentral lists this ribosomal RNA (459 nucleotides) under uncultured bacterium. Its description in RNAcentral is "partial 16S ribosomal RNA". It matches the Rfam family "Bacterial small subunit ribosomal RNA", at positions 339 to 795 of the family's 1533-position model. The record is from RNAcentral.